GACGAACGCUGGCGGCGUGCUUAACACAUGCAAGUCGAACGGAAAGGCCCCUUUGGGGGUACUCGAGUGGCGAACGGGUGAGUAACACGUGCGUAACCUGCCCUUGACUUCGGGAUAACUUCAGGAAACUGGGGCUAAUACCGGAUAGGAAUCCUUGCUGCAUGGUGGGGGUUGGAAAGCUUCGGCGGUUUUGGAUGGACUCGCGGCUUAUCAGCUUGUUGGUGUGGUAGUGGCUUACCAAGGCUCUGACGGGUAGCCGGCCUGUGAGGGCGACCGGCGACAUUGGGACUGAGAGAAGGCCCAGACUCCUACGGGAGGAAGAAGUGGGGAAUAUUGCACAAGGGGCGGAAGCCUGAUGCAGAAACGCCGCGUGCGGGAUGACGGUCUUCGGGUUGUAAAACGCUUUCAGCAGGGGCGAAGCUUGUGGUGACGGUACCUGCAGAAGAAGCACCGGCUAACUACGUG
RNAcentral lists this ribosomal RNA (465 nucleotides) under uncultured bacterium. Its description in RNAcentral is "partial 16S ribosomal RNA". It matches the Rfam family "Bacterial small subunit ribosomal RNA", at positions 28 to 507 of the family's 1533-position model. The record is from RNAcentral.